UAUUCACAGCUGAACUCAACCUCUGUAUGGAU
Molecule: non-coding RNA, 32 nt
Filed under: Rattus norvegicus (Norway rat)
Lineage: Eukaryota; Metazoa; Chordata; Mammalia; Rodentia; Muridae
Source: RNAcentral